AGUACUUACGAAUUCCAAUAACGGUUACAUUCUGAUUUUUAAACGUUUCGAUCUAUUUCGCUGUAUGGCCGUAAUUAGUUCAUAUUUAUUGUCAUUACCAUGCGCCCAUACAUACCGCCAAAUAGCGUCGCGCCAUGAAACGUGAAACCAGAAUUUAAUAUAUACGUUGAAAAGUUCCUAAAAAAGUCAUUCAUUUUACGACAAAUAUUUUCACACCAAGUGUUGGCGCGUGAUAAAUUUGGCACUCCAUCGAAUGCCAUCGCAUGAAGAAUAUAUACAUUUGAAUGUGAAAUAUUACAUGUAUGGUGAUUUUGGCGUGAUUUCGCGCUUCACGUCGUGAAAUUGUAUCGGUAUGUCUGGGCGCACAUUAUAAUCUCACCUAAACAACACAAGGACGAUCUGUCAAUCUCAAUGUAAACAAACAAACCUUCAUGGCAAACGCAGUGUGCUUGCAUUUUCAGGAUCCGAAAAAACGUUCUGAAAUAGGAUGAGUGUAGUUUAAGAUUGAUUGUAGAUAAGUUUAUUUAAACGACCCUCAUCCCAUUUCACCAUGUAUCGAAACUAUCUAUGCCGCGUUUGUGCGUGUACCGAAACUACAAGUGUGUUGGUGAACAUCUUUGAAAAACAUGGAGCACAGGACAGCGUUGCCGAUAUUCUUUUGGAACUAGCGGAUAUCAAGGUGACGGUCGACGAUGGAUUUCCCCAACAGUGCUGUUUGCGAUGCCAUACAGAGGUCGUUCAGGCUGUAUCAUUGCGCCGUAAAUGCAUGGAAUCAGAGAAACUUUUUCGAAUCAAGAUUGAACCAGAUUCUUGCCCUUUCAGUUUUACCGACGAUCCAUUCGAUAAUCAAUCCGAUAACUUGUCCAUUGAUUCUUCAAAUCUCGUUUCGGAAAAGCAUCCGAAGUACCAUUGCCGAGAGUGUUCCUUGGAUUUCUUCGAUUCAGAUGCACUGCAGAAACACUACGAAUCAAAGCAUGCUAAUGUGAUCUAUAGUUCAACAGGAUCAAUGUUGUCAGGUAGCCAAUACGAAAACUUGUCCGAUUCGAGUAACCAAAUCUACCAAUGCCGUGAGUGUUCGUUGGAGUUACUGGAUUCAGAUGCACUGCAGGAACACUACGACUCAAAGCAUGCUAAUGUGAUCUAUGGAUGGGAGACGAUUGGCUUAAGUGAAAUCUCUCCAUUCGAUAGCACUGACGAUGAACCAGAGACGAAAGACGACAUCUUAAAUUGUCCAUCGGAUGUGCAAAACAAAGCAAAUCAAAACAAUCCUACACUUGAAUGUUGCGCCUGUAAAGCACGAUUCAGAACUGAGACUGAUCUGUUUUACCAUUCUAAACAGGUACACGCCCCUAAUGCCAUCGAAAUCAACGAACCAACCCCAAAUCGGUGCAACGUAUGUUAUCAAACAUUUACCACCGCAUGUGUGUUAAAGGAGCAUCAAAAGGCUAGAAGCAUCUUAAACUAUAUGUGCGUAACUUGUGGCAUGAUGUUCACCAGACAACAUAAAUGUCUUGCACAUGAAAGUACGCAUAUAGACCAUAAACUUAAGUGCGAAGUUUGCGGGAAGCUAUUCGCCAAUAUGAAGUACUAUGAGAUACACAAGAAUAAGAUGCACGGCGAUCAGGCCGCACGGAAGCGAUACAUAUGUAGUAUAUGUGGUGCAAAGGUGGUUUCGACCUCAUACCUUAAAGUGCACAUGAAGCUACACUCUGAAGAUCAUCCGUAUUCCUGUGACUUGUGUGGGGCCCGGUUCAAAAUAGUGGCCUACCUAAACUGGCACAUGACUAGACAUAAAGGUAUCUACACGUGCCAGCAGUGCGGCCUGACUUGCAAAGGGCCCUCUGAGCUGAACGAACAUAUGAACAGCCAUGGUGAAGCCAGGAAGUAUAGUUGCAUUAUAUGUCCAUCAGCGUUUCGAUUGAAACAUGCCCUUGAGAAACAUUUAAGAAAUGUACAUAAACGAAAGCGAAAGUAGUUUUCUUUUUACCGCGGAUACGGUUUCUUUUGGGAAGAAGAAUAUAAAGGCUAACGUUCCUAGCUACACACUGUAUAUGCAGCACACCUACUCCAUAUAGCACUAACAAUGAGAAGGAAACAACGUAUACUAAAUUAUAGAUAAAUGCAGAGUACAACGGUAUUGCUCAUGUUUCGAUCACAUAAGAAAAAGAAGAUUCCGUCGGUUCUCCAAAUAAACGCCAUGUAAAUCGAAAUUCCGUUUCACAGCAUGUCCGAUCAAAUCACCUCCGAUGAAGCACAGACACAAACCUCUAUUUAGAUACAUUUCAAUUUCAUCUAAAGUUUGCUGCUUGGGAUCUGUCGCUGUCAAUGUAAACAAACCAA
This is an RNA transcript of Anopheles merus, 2340 nucleotides long. It is a transcript of the gene named zinc finger protein 624-like, with no coding region annotated. The transcript is spliced from 4 exons. Lineage: Eukaryota; Metazoa; Arthropoda; Insecta; Diptera; Culicidae. The record is from RefSeq and is a predicted model, not a curated record.